AGCAGCAGGAAUGACCUGGGGUGAACUGACUGUGACCCCCAUUCCCAUCUCCCUGCACCACUGGGGGACAGGAGUGUUCCAGGAGGCUGCUGUUGCUGACAUUUUCAUUCCUCAGUGGGGCUCACGGCACAUGUGUGACCUGAGAACAUCCUGCUGUGCCUUCAAAGGAUGAUCUUCCACAACCCUCUCUGUGUGAAGGUGGGAUCUCCUCUCCUGACUUGCCAGACAUCAGUUUAAUAAGAGGACCGAACUGAAGAUCCUCCUCGGAGGUGACUUGCUCUCCUCCUCCUCUCCCGACAGGGAGAAGGUUAAUGAGCUCCUGUUGUAACCUCAGAGAGACUCUCAAAACCUUCCAAAGCUGUGGGGAAGGGCUGCAACUCAGAGCCAGACAUCCUGAGUGAAGUAAAUGCUCUCAAAACACUUGAGGGAGGAAAGGUUUGGGGUGGGGAUGGACAGCUUGGCUUUUAAGGCUUGGACUUUCUUCUUGGCUCCCCAAAGUCUCCCUGAAGCCCAGGUACAGAGCAGCUGCUCUGCCAGGUCUGUGGAUCCUGUUGGCAGCAAGUACUUCUGUUAAAUUCCUUAUUUCACCUCUGACUCCACACAGGGGGAUUUGGGGCUCAUUUACCCUUUUUGGCAGUUUGUGUUAAAUCCCCUCCUGGUCCCGGUGCUGACUGUGGUGCUCCUGACUCUGCAACCUCGCGUUUGCCUCUCACAAAGCCACUUCAGAGGAGCUGAAAGUGCCUGGAGAGAGUUUUAAGCCUGGCUACUGCAGAGUGCAGAGCUCCUCAGUUUCCUUUUUAAAGGCAGUGAAAGCUGCCAUUGUGUUAAAAUCAAGAGGGAUGUGAAUCUCCAAGUCUCAGUAAAUUAUUCUUGUCACUCAGUGUCUCCUCCUGCAUUUGGAUUUCUCUGAAGCUUAUUAAAACAUACCUGAAAAAUAAGAAGGGGAAACAGCACCUCGGGUCACAGUAAAUGAUGUUGUUUAUAGUUUGUCUACACCAGGAAAGACAGUAAAUUAAUUUGAGCUCCUCACAUCAGGGAGACUUCAGAUGACAGUGAAUCUCUGUGGGGACACCAUGUGCAACCUGAUUUCUAACUUUUACCUAAUUUUGAAAAGAAGGAGUGGAAAUGGGUGAUCUCUCUCUGUAAAUUAGGACCUGGACAGACAAAUCACCCUGGUCUGGAGAAGGAAAGAAUGGCCUCAUGUUUGUGGUGUGGAAGAAAUGGGUUGUGUUCUUGUCUGACACAAACCUUGUGUGACCUUUCACAAAGCACUAAAUUAGCCCAACUUUUGUCUUCCCCUGUUUUAUAGCAGCUCUAAAAUGCUCAUGAAGUCUAUUAUUUUUUUUUUUUUUGCUAGUUUAGCUUCAAUUGAAGUGUUUGUGGUUUUCCAGAGCAGAUCAGAUUGUGUGGCAUUGCCCUUCUUACCGUUCCCACUCACUCACGGUGUCAUCCUAUCCCAGGAGAGCAUUCCAUAGGGCCAGCAAGUUCCCAUCAGUGGGGUGGGGUGGGUGCAGUUACCUCAGAGUCUUCCAGGCCCAAAGGUAGGAUCCUGCAAACACCUGAAAAAUUAUGAUUGUUUUUUAGUCUAAACAUGACCCAUGGAAACCACACAGAGAAAAGACACAGAGAGUAGACACAAAAAAUAUCUGUGACUUGUCUAAAACCCACUGGUAUUUUGGAAUCUGCAGGUGUCACCAGAACACUUUGUAUAGUGGAAAACUGUUCUCUUUACAGAUUACUUUGUGAAGUAAAUGAAGGACUCUGUAUUUUCUUCCUUCAGUGUGCAGACAGAGCACUCCUUGUGCCAGUCCUUCUCCUGGCUUUGGGAACUGUGCGUGACCAACCUGAUCUCCACCUUUCAACCUUCCAUCUGGAAUUCUGAAAACCUUCCUGAGAAAAUGUCUGUUAGUCUUUGUAACCUUUUUUAUUCCCCGGAAGAGAGCCUUAAAUUGAGACUGAGAAAAGAAAGAUGUGCGUAAACCCUUGUUUUGGAAAGAAAGGGAAGAAUCGUGUGCUUCAAUCCUUGAAAAUUGCUGUAUUACAGAGGACAGCUCCUGGUUUAUUUUGUUUGUUGAUGAUACGUGUUUCUAAGGGUUUAUUCCCCGGUUCAGACUCAUUAAAGCAUCUUUUGGAGGAGUCCCUUUUAAGAAGGGAGCAGGAGGGAUGGAAGCAAAAGGCCGCCCCUGUCUUAAGGUUUCUUGAUGUUUUCUUUAUUCCUGGUUCUUUUUUGGCCAGGAGAAAUUCAUAGCCAAGUCCUGUCUGCUUACACAAAGGCUCCAUUGAUCCUAACUUUGUGAUGAAUGGCCAGCUCGAGUGUGAGAGAGAAAAACCACAUUUUUAUCCAGAAAUCUGUGCUCCUGCCAACAAUCUUCAUUCUCUUUGUGCAAGAAAUAAACCAGUUUUCUACGAUUUUCUCAGGUGGAAAAGGGCAAACUACCCUUUGCUUUACUGUUCUGGAGUGGAGGGAGCUCCAACAAUUCCUAUUUGUCCAUUGGGAUGGCUGCCCACGAGGAAUCGCUCAUUUUUCUUUCAGAGAUCCAGGUUCGUUCCAUUUUUGGGAUAACAUUUUCUAUAAUAACCCCUACCUUGCAAUAAAGACUAAGGGGAGUUCAGCUGUUGGUUGAUGUAAAAAAAAAACAAACAUACAUAAGGUGCUGUAAACUAAUUCUUCUCUCUUCCCACAGAUAUUUUAGUCCUUGAGGCCCCUUUUAACAAAGCACUCAAGUGUCUGAUUGCCUUUACCCAUCACAUCUCAUCCAUCUCCCAUGUGUUCCCAUUUUCUCUUGGCUGGAAUUCCUCCAUAGUGCUCCUGGAAAUUUGCUCCAGGAAUCUUCUUGGAGAAAAGAAUUCCUAUUGGAGCAAUUCCUCUGCUGAGCAGGAGUGUGGAUGUGCUGCUCUAUACGUGUUAGUGCUCAACCCUGUUUUUCCACCUAUCUCUAACUGGGUUUCCAUCACUGCCAGCUGAUUGUUUCUUCUCUAUUUUCUCCUUUAUUCAAAUGUUUUAGAUAAUUUUCCACCGCCUGUAUUAUUUAAGAUGUUGCCACAACCUCAGAUGUGUCCAAAUUAGGCCUUUUUGAUUUGUUCCCUCUCCCCAUUUCUCCACUCUUUGCCUUUCUGGUGCUAGCCAUGUUUCCCAAAACAGAUUAAUUUGCCAGCUUUCUUAAUGUAAUUAUUUCUCAGCCUUCCAGGUCCUUUAGGAAAAUAUUAAAGAGUGGGAAUGAUAACCACAAUUCCCUUGUUUCUGCAGAAGAUUUCAACUUGGCAUCGUCCUCCUCCUCCUCCUCUUCUUUUGUUUGCAUUCAAUUACUCAGGUUUUGCAUCUGUCCAAUCCAAUUUGAAUUAACAUUUCAAUUACUCUUUCAUGGAAAAAGAGAGUAAAUGCUUCAUUAAAUCACAUGCUUUAUUAAAAUACCCAUUGACAUCUAUAAAGAAACUUCCCAACAUGAUGUUUUACAAGUGGUUUUGUGCAAAAUAUCAUAAACAGUCUUGAAAUAUGUAAAAUUUUUAAUUAGGUUGCAAUAUAAAAUGUCAGAUUUUUAAUGCCUUCUGUGUGAGGGGAUGAUGAACUGAUUUAAGAGGCAGAAGGUCUCAGGUUUCUGGAGGAAAUUUAUGUGUUUUUGUAGGGAAAUGGAGUGUUGGGGUCCCUGUGCAAUCACAAAUCACAGGACACUGUUCUUGUCAUGGAACAAAAAGAUCAGCCCUGUGCCCCCAGAUAUCAGCACAGAAACUUUCCACUGCUGGAGAGGGUUGGGUUGAGGGCCUGGAGUUGUUCCCAUUUACCCACAGCUCCUGUGGAGUCAGGGAAAUAGUGUGGGUGUGUCCCCAGGGGCAAAAAGCCAGCAGAAUCCCUCAAAAUCCAUCAAAGUUGUCCCCAAAUCCACCCAAACCUCCCCAAAUCCAAUUGAAACCUCCCCCUCCCCAAAUCUCCCAAAGUCCCAUUGAAAUACGGCAAAAUUGUAUCAAAAUUCCACUCAAAAUUUCAGCAAAAUCCCCCCAAACUCCCCCCAAAUCCACUUUAAAUACCCACAAAAUCCCAUCAAAAUUUCCACAAAUGCCCCUAAGAUGCCACAAAUUUCCCCAAAAUCGCACAAACCCUCCCAAAAUCCUAUCAAAAACUGCCCCAAAUGCACCAAAAUAUCUCCAGUUCCCCCCCCCCGAAUCCCCAAAUCUCCCCAAAUAUCCCCCCAUGUCCUGAAGUCCCCCAUUAAAAAUGAUUAACCCCCAAACUUAGGAACUUUCACCCCAAACCUCCCCAUUUUUGGGGCCGAAAAAAUGACAUUUUAGGUUAAAAGAAGUGCUUAAAUUUGCUCUUAACUAAGGUGAGUUACUACUGUGGGCAACUGGCUACAGAGUUACACUCCAUAUAGGUAAAAGCAACCACUAAAGUACUUAAACUUUAUGGUUUAUGGUUUGUCAGCCUUUGUGUCUCUGAAUAAUCACUCAGCAAAAAAUUAAAAAAACUAAAAAAAAAAAAAUAAAAUCAGAUAUUCUUGUUUCUUUCCAUUCCCUCACUCAGUAUUUCAUUUUAAACCUCCUUUAAAUUUCCUCCAGCCAGAAAGAAGCUGGUAAAGCAGUGUCAGGAGCUCUACUGGGGCAGAGCGAUGUCUCUGCUCCUCCACUUGCUGAGCAGACUCCUAAUUAUGGCAGGAAGAUAUUUUAUAACAAAGGCAUAAAAAAAAAAGCCCUUUUUUACUAGCUGUUCACACGCCUGCUAUAAUUAGCACUACACUGGGAAGUUUGCUUGCAGUUCAUCUGAACACAUCUACUUUUAACCUCGAUGACCGAGUUGUUUCUCAUGUGCUCAGUCAUGGAUUAAUGCUGAAAAGAUGGAGGUGACCUUUUUUUUUCCCCUUUUUUUUUUUUUUUAAACCCUACAGCCACUCAGCCUGUGAAUAUAUUAGCUGCAAAACCAUUUCAUCAGUGCUGCAAGACUGAAGAACUCCCAGGUUUGACACAGCUGUGAGAACUGCUACAGAAGGGUAAAAUACUUAUGAAGACAAGAAUAGGCUUUAUAUUGCAUUUAAUCUAAGCUAAUAAUUUUGUCAAUCUAUUUAAUAAUUUGAAUUAUCACAGGGGCACAGCUGCCUCCCCAUGGGCAGCAGGAGAACCUCAGCUCUGGUGCCUGGAGCACCUCCUGCCCCUCCUUC
Long non-coding RNA from Pipra filicauda (Wire-tailed manakin), 5147 nucleotides. RefSeq lists it as uncharacterized. The transcript has 6 exons. The record is from RefSeq and is a predicted model, not a curated record. Lineage: Eukaryota; Metazoa; Chordata; Aves; Passeriformes; Pipridae.